RNAcentral lists this ribosomal RNA (460 nucleotides) under uncultured bacterium. RNAcentral's name for it is "partial 16S ribosomal RNA". It matches the Rfam family "Bacterial small subunit ribosomal RNA", at positions 338 to 795 of the family's 1533-position model. The record is from RNAcentral.
CCUACGGGAGGCAGCAGUGAGGAAUAUUGGUCAAUGGACGAGAGUCUGAACCAGUCAAGUAGCGUGAAGGAUGACUGCCCUAUGGGUUGUAAACUUCUUUUAUAUGGGAAUAAAAUGUUCCACGUGUGGGAUUUUGUAUGUACCAUAUGAAUAAGGAUCGGCUAACUCCGUGCCAGCAGCCGCGGUAAUACGGAGGAUCCGAGCGUUAUCCGGAUUUAUUGGGUUUAAAGGGAGCGUAGGUGGAUUGUUAAGUCAGUUGUGAAAGUUUGCGGCUCAACCGUAAAAUUGCAGUUGAAACUGGCAGUCUUGAGUACAGUAGAGGUGGGCGGAAUGCGUGGUGUAGCGGUGAAAUGCUUAGAUAUCACGAAGAACUCCGAUUGCGAAGGCAGUUCACUGGACUGCAACUGACACUGAGGCUCGAAAGUGUGGGUAUCAAACAGGAUUAGAUACCCGUGUAGUC